GAAUUUUGGACAAUGGGCGAAAGCCUGAUCCAGCAAUGCCGCGUGUGUGAAGAAGGCCUUCGGGUUGUAAAGCACUUUUGUCCGGAAAGAAAUCCUUGGCUCUAAUACAGCCGGGGGAUGACGGUACCGGAAGAAUAAGCACCGGCUAACUACGUGCCAGCAGCCGCGGUAAUACGUAGGGUGCAAGCGUUAAUCGGAAUUACUGGGCGUAAAGCGUGCGCAGGCGGUUUGCUAAGACCGAUGUGAAAUCCCCGGGCUCAACCUGGGAACUGCAUUGGUGACUGGCAGGCUAGAGUAUGGCAGAGGGGGGUAGAAUUCCACGUGUAGCAGUGAAAUGCGUAGAGAUGUGGAGGAAUACCGAUGGCGAAGGCAGCCCCCUGGGCCAAUACUGACGCUCAUGCACGAAAGCGUGGGGAGCAAACAGGAUUAGAUACCCUGGUAGUCCACGCCCUAAACGAUGUCAACUAGUUGUUGGGGAUUCAUUUCCUUAGUAACGUAGCUAACGCGUGAUGUUGACCGCCUGGGGAGUACGGUCGCAAGAUUAAAACUCAAAGGAAUUGACGGGGACCCGCACAAGCGGUGGAUGAUGUGGAUUAAUUCGAUGCAACGCGAAAAACCUUACCUACCCUUGACAUGGUCGGAAUCCUGCUGAGAGGUGGGAGUGCUCGAAAGAGAACCGGCGCACAGGUGCUGCA
Molecule: ribosomal RNA, 695 nt
Filed under: Burkholderia ambifaria
Lineage: Bacteria; Pseudomonadati; Pseudomonadota; Betaproteobacteria; Burkholderiales; Burkholderiaceae
Description: bacterial SSU rRNA
Rfam family: Bacterial small subunit ribosomal RNA
Source: RNAcentral